GCUUAACCUGGUUGAUCCUGCCAGUAGUCAUAUGCUUGUCUCAAAGAUUAAGCCAUGCAUGUCUAAGCACAAGCCGAUUAAUGGUGAAGCCGCGAAUGGCUCAUUACAACAGCCAUAGUUUCUUAGAUCUUACUUUUCUACUUGGAUAACUGUGGUAAUUCUAGAGCUAAUACACGCAAACAAGCUCAGACCUUACGGAAUGAGCGCAUUUAUUAGAACAAAAACCAAUCGGAUCUCGGUCCGUCAUUUGGUGAAUCUGAAUAACUUUGCUGAUCGCACGGUCAUCGUACCGGCGACAUAUCUUUCAAAUGUCUGCCUUAUCAACUUUCGAUGGUAGUUUAUGCGCCUACCAUGGUUGUAACGGGUAACGGAGAAUAAGGGUUCGACUCCGGAGAGGGAGCCUGAGAAACGGCUACCACAUCCAAGGAAGGCAGCAGGCACGCAAAUUACCCACUCCCAGCACGGGGAGGUAGUGACGAAAAAUAACGAGACGGCUCGCUAUGCGGUCCGUCAUCGGAAUGGGUACAAUUUAAAUCCUUUAACGAGGAUCUAUUGGAGGGCAAGUCUGGUGCCAGCAGCCGCGGUAAUUCCAGCUCCAAUAGCAUAUAUUAAAGUUGUUGCGGUUAAAACGCCCGUAGUUGGAUCAGCGGACGUGGACGAACGGUCUCCCGAUGGGCUGUACUGUUCUCCUGUCCUAAUCAAUGUCUAGUUCGCUCUAGGUGCUCUUCACUGAGUGUCUAGAGUGGCUGGAACUUUUACUUUGAAAAAAUUAGAGUGCUCAAAGCAGGCGUCUCAGCCUGAAUAGUGGUGCAUGGAAUAAUGGAAUAGGACCUCAGUUCUAUUUUGUUGGUUUUCGGAGCAUGAGGUAAUGAUUAAGAGGGACAGACGGGGCAUUCGUAUUGCGACGUUAGAGGUGAAAUUCUUGGAUCGUCGCAAGACGAACUACUGCGAAAGCAUUUGCCAAGAAUGUUUUCAUUAAUCAAGGACGAUAGUUAGAGGUUCGAAGGCGAUCAGAUACCGCCCUAGUUCUAACCGUAAACGAUGUCAACCAGCGAUCCGCAGGAGUUAUUCAUGACUCUGCGGGCAGCUUCCGGGAAACCAAAGUUUUUGGAUUCCGGGGGGAGUAUGGUUGCAAAGCUGAAACUUAAAGGAAUUGACGGAAGGGCACCACCAGGAGUGGAGCCUGCGGCUUAAUUUGACUCAACGCGGGGAAACUCACCCGGCCCGGACACCGUAAGGAUUGACAGAUUGAGAGCUCUUUCUUGAUUCGGUGGGUGGUGGUGCAUGGCCGUUCUUAGUUGGUGGAGCGAUUUGUCUGGUUAAUUCCGAUAACGAACGAGACUUUAGCCUACUAAAUAGAAGGCAAAUCAUUCGUUUGCUGUACUUCUUAGAGGGACUAGGGGCGUCUAGCCUCACGAGAUUGAGCAAUAACAGGUCUGUGAUGCCCUUAGAUGUCCGGGGCCGCACGCGCGCUACACUGAAGGAUUCAGCAAGUGUUCAGCCUGGUCUGAGAAGAUCGGGUAACCUAAUGAAACUCCUUCGUGAUUGGGAUAGGGACUCGUAAUUAUUUCCCUUGAACGAGGAAUUCCUAGUAAGUGCGGGUCAUCAUCUCGCGUUGAUUACGUCCCUGCCCUUUGUACACACCGCCCGUCGCCACUAUCGAGUGAUGAGUUAUCCAGAUUCUCGGACUGGCUCCUUGGCGGCUUCACGGCUGCCAUCGUGGCUUGGAAAGAGACUCUAGAUCAUUUAUCGCAAGAAAGUAAAAGUCGUAACAAGGUAGCCGUAAGCC
This 1789-nucleotide ribosomal RNA is filed under the name uncultured eukaryote. RNAcentral's name for it is "SSU rRNA". It matches the Rfam family "Eukaryotic small subunit ribosomal RNA". The record is from RNAcentral.